AUGCCGACGCGGGGCGCUUUCCGCCCAGUCUCCCUUCAGAAUGGGGUCUGUCGUGGCCUCACCUCGAGGUUGCAGAAGCAGAUCGGGGGCAUCAUCGAUGUUCACCAGUCUGGGUCCUUGGCGGGGAGGAGCAUCUCCGAGAACUUCGUGUAUGCCACCGAGUUGAUCCAGUGCUGCCACAAACGGGGGGCGCCAGCCCUCGUGUUCAAGCUGGAUUUCGCCAAGGCUUUCGACUCGGUCGACUGGGGGGCGCUACGCCGGAUCCUCAUGGCGCGCGGCUUUCCCGACCGGUGGUGUGCCUGGAUGGACCUGAUCUUCGAGUCCUCGCGGUCGGCGGUGCUGCUGAACGGCAUGCCCGGGAAGUGGUUCACGGUGCGCCGGGGGCUGCGGCAAGGCGACCUGUGCUCGCCCUACCUCUUCCUCAUCGUCGCCGACGUGCUGCAAUGGAUGAUCAGGCAAGAUGGGGGGUUGUUCCACCCCCUCGUACACGGCGAGCCCCCCUGGUGCUGCAAUAUGCCGAUGAUAUGCUUGUCAUCCUCCAUGCGGACACCGGCGCCGCUGCUCGCCUACGCCGUAUCCUCGACGACUUUGCAGCGGCGACGGGGCUGGACAUCAACUUUUCCAAAAGUACUCUGGUACCCAUGCACGUUCCCGAGGAGGUGUUGGUGGAGACCUUUGGCGCCCUUGGCUGCGCCGUUCAAGGGUUCCCGCAAGCCUACCUAG
This 723-nucleotide ribosomal RNA is filed under the name Triticum aestivum (bread wheat). RNAcentral describes it as "partial small subunit ribosomal RNA". Lineage: Eukaryota; Viridiplantae; Streptophyta; Magnoliopsida; Poales; Poaceae. The record is from RNAcentral.